CUGGCGGCGUGCCUAAUACAUGCAAGUCGAACGCACUCUCGUUUAGAUUGAAGGAGCUUGCUCCUGAUUGAUAAACAUUUGAGUGAGUGGCGGACGGGUGAGUAACACGUGGGUAACCUGCCCUAAGUGGGGGAUAACAUUUGGAAACAGAUGCUAAUACCGCAUAAAACCCAACACCGCAUGGUGUAGGGUUGAAAGAUGGUUUCGGCUAUCACUUUAGGAUGGACCCGCGGUGCAUUAGUUAGUUGGUGAGGUAAAGGCUCACCAAGACCGUGAUGCAUAGCCGACCUGAGAGGGUAAUCGGCCACACUGGGACUGAGACACGGCCCAGACUCCUACGGGAGGCAGCAGUAGGGAAUCUUCCACAAUGGACGAAAGUCUGAUGGAGCAACGCCGCGUGAGUGAAGAAGGUUUUCGGAUCGUAAAACUCUGUUGUUGGAGAAGAAUGUAUCUGAUAGUAACUGAUCAGGUAGUGACGGUAUCCAACCAGAAAGCCACGGCUAACUACGUG
Molecule: ribosomal RNA, 511 nt
Filed under: uncultured bacterium
Lineage: Bacteria
Description: bacterial SSU rRNA
Rfam family: Bacterial small subunit ribosomal RNA
Source: RNAcentral